Molecule: ribosomal RNA, 185 nt
Filed under: uncultured archaeon
Lineage: Archaea
Description: partial 16S ribosomal RNA
Rfam family: Bacterial small subunit ribosomal RNA
Source: RNAcentral
GGAUUAGAUACCCGGGUAGUCCAUGCCCUAAACGAUGUCAACUAGUUGUCGGGUCUUUACGGACUUGGUAACGUAGCUAACGCGUGAAGUUGACCGCCUGGGGAGUACGAUCGCAAGAUUAAAACUCAAAUGAAUUGACGGGGACCCGCACAAGCGGUGGAUUAUGCGGUUUAAUUGGACUCAAC